UAUUCAUCCUCCAAGACACGUAAAAAGUAAAAUCUUCACAAAAUGUCACGAAAAUGUCCAUUUUUCUCCGAUUCUGCGCGACGACAGCUCCUUCGAGGUUCACCAGCGAGUGACGCAGAAUCUGGAAGGGAAAAAAACUCAAUUUCGGGCUCGGAAGAUACAGGAGAUGAUACCCGGGUUAUGAACAUCAGCUGACCAGGACUAGGGAGAUGCGUGGCCAGCAUCCCUCUUCUUCCAUCUUGCCGCCGUGACACUGUGCCAGGUGCCUCCCGACAAGUGGGGUAAGGCGGAGCUCAUGACAAUCCUCAGGGUUUUCAAGGAUUUUUGCGCUCCCUGGCUGGCUUCAAAAACACGUAGAAGCAAGAGCAGCACUUCUCGGAGACAGCGGCUUCUUGUAUCAGCGUAGAAUCCAAAGUUCUGAAUCGUGAUCCUGAAGGUCCAUCUCAAAAGUGUCAACCUGUUGCAAUGGUGACCAGUAUGACCCAGCAAUGAAUUUCCUGGCCUCGGUGUCUGAUAGGUGCCUGCUGUCAUUACUUACUGAGAGUCCUGUGCAAUGAAGCUUUGGGGAGGACGAAGUAACGUGAUCCAAAUGUCAAGAUGCAAUGAUGAAGAUUUUGAAUUUGUUGUCAUUUGUUACCAUUCAUAGCUAUUGGAGAUUAUUACUGAAACUGUAAAACCUACAUACACAAAAAAGUAUAUUUUGUUAGUUGUAAAUAGGUCUUUUUUUCCUCUUUUUAGUAAUGAGUUGAUAUUUGUUGAAUUUUACAGUGAAAUACAAGAAAUUAAUGUG
Molecule: long non-coding RNA, 790 nt
Filed under: Penaeus monodon (black tiger shrimp)
Lineage: Eukaryota; Metazoa; Arthropoda; Malacostraca; Decapoda; Penaeidae
Description: uncharacterized LOC119595015, transcript variant X5
Source: RNAcentral